MicroRNA precursor from Aotus nancymaae (Ma's night monkey), 66 nucleotides. The record is from Ensembl. NCBI's taxonomy places the organism in Eukaryota, Metazoa, Chordata, Mammalia, Primates, Aotidae.
GACUGGGAUGUCACUGAGUACGGUGUUUGUGAGUUGACUGACAUCGUAUCAGAGAUUCCAGACACA